Molecule: small RNA, 27 nt
Filed under: Bombyx mori (domestic silkworm)
Lineage: Eukaryota; Metazoa; Arthropoda; Insecta; Lepidoptera; Bombycidae
Description: ovarian small RNA-37050
Source: RNAcentral
UUCAUAUGCUAAAAGAGAUACAUGUGA